UACGUAGGGGGCGAGCGUUGUCCGGAAUCACUGGGCGUAAAGGGCACGCAGGCGGCCAGCCAAGUCAUGGGUGAAAUACCGGGGCUUAACUCCGGGGGUGCCUGUGAAACUGGUUGGCUUGAGGGUCGGAGAGGGCAGUGGAAUUCCCGGUGUAGCGGUGAUAUGCGUAGAGAUCGGGAGGAACACCAGUGGCGAAGGCGACUGCCUGGACGAUACCUGACGCUCAGGUGCGAAAGCUCGGGGAGCGAACGGG
Molecule: ribosomal RNA, 253 nt
Filed under: uncultured bacterium
Lineage: Bacteria
Description: partial 16S ribosomal RNA
Rfam family: Bacterial small subunit ribosomal RNA
Source: RNAcentral